This 500-nucleotide ribosomal RNA is filed under the name Streptomyces sp. RNAcentral describes it as "bacterial SSU rRNA". It matches the Rfam family "Bacterial small subunit ribosomal RNA", at positions 836 to 1326 of the family's 1533-position model. Lineage: Bacteria; Bacillati; Actinomycetota; Actinomycetes; Kitasatosporales; Streptomycetaceae. The record is from RNAcentral.
GUCGUCCGCGCCGCAGCUAACGCAUUAAGUUCCCCCCUGGGGAGUACGGCCGCAAGGCUAAAACUCAAAGGAAUUGACGGGGGCCCGCACAAGCGGCGGAGCAUGUGGCUUAAUUCGACGCAACGCGAAGAACCUUACCAAGGCUUGACAUACGCCGGAAACGUCUGGAGACAGGCGCCCCCUUGUGGUCGGUGUACAGGUGGUGCAUGGUUGUCGUCAGCUCGUGUCGUGAGAUGUUGGGUUAAGUCCCGCAACGAGCGCAACCCUUGUUCUGUGUUACCAGCGGGUUAUGCCGGGGACUCACAGGAGACUGCCGGGGUCAACUCGGAGGAAGGUGGGGACGACGUCAAAUCAUCAUGCCCCUUAUGUCUUGGGCUGCACACGUGCUACAAUGGCCGGUACAAUGGGGGAAAUACCGCGAGGUGGAGCGAAUCCCAAAAAGCCGGCCUCAUUCGGAUUGGGGUCUGGAACUGACUUCCUGAUUUUUCUGAGAAUGAAGA